ACUCAGCUGCUGUGAGUUCAGAGAAAGGAGGCGAUGCUGGCUUUGAGGGAGGGUGAAGAAAAUUCUUAAAUCAAUCAGACAAACUAAACAAGGUGGGGAAGACAUACUGGGUCCAUGGAUUAGAAGACUCUGCAUAGCAAGGAUGCCAAUUUCCUCCCGGAUCAACUUUUGUAUUUAAUACAGUUCCAAUCAAAACCCCAGCAGGAUCUCUUGCAGGUAUAGACAGGCUAAUUCUAAAAUGUGUAUAGAAAGGCAAAGGAACUGGAAUAGCCAGAAAUGUUUUGGAAAAAAAAAAAAGACGAAGAAAGUUGGAAGAAUCAUGCUGUCCAAUUUUAAGACUUACUAUAAAGCUACAGGAAGACUGUGGCGUUGGCAGAGGAAUAGACACAGAUCACUGGAAGAGAAUAGAGGGGGGCAGACAUAGACCCACCGAAACAUGGCCAAUCGAAUUUUGACAAAGGUACAAAGCAGUUCAAUGGAGAGAGGUUAUCUUUUCAACAAACAGUAUAGGAGCAAAAAAAAAAAAGUGAACCUCAACCUAAAUCUUAAACCUUAUACAAAAAUCUACUCCAAAUGGAUCACAGAUCAAAAUGUAAAUUGUAAAUGGAGUUCCCAUCGUGGUGCAGCGGAAACGAAUGCGACUAGGAACCAUGAGGUUUCGGGUUCAAUCCCAGGCCUUGAUCAGUGGGUUAAGGAUCCGGUGUUGCCCUGAGCUGUGGUGUAGGUCGAAGACACAGCUCAGAUCUGGCGUUGCUGUGGCUGUGGUGUAGGCUGGCAGCAAGAGCUCCAAUUAGACCCCUAGCCUGGGAACCUCCAUAUGCUGCAGGUGUGGCCCUAAAGAGACCAAAAGGCAAAAAAAAUUUGUAAAAUGUAAAACUUAGAAAACUUUUGGAUGAAAACACAGGAGAAAAUCUUCGUGAUCUAGGGUUACGCAGAAUUCUUAGGCAUGAGACCAAGAGCAUGAUCUGUAAAAGAAAAAUUGAUGAAUUGGACUUCAUCAAAACCAAACACAUUUGCUCUGUGAAAAACACUGUUAAGAGCAAGAAAAAGCAGCCUACCUACGUGGCUGUUGUGUGGGCCGGCAGCUGUAGCUCCGAUUCCACCUCUAGCCUGGGAACCUCCAUAUGUGGCAGGUGCACCCCCCUCAAAAAAAAAAAAAUGGUGAUAUAUGGCAGAAAACUAUUCAGCCACAAAAAAACAACCAUCUAUUGAUAUACUCAACUUGGAUGAAUCUCAGAGGCAUCCUGUUGAGUGAAAGAAACCAAUUUUCCAUCACUUAUAUGCUGCGUAAUUUCAUUUGUAUGAGGUUCUGCAAAAGAUGACACUAUAGACACAAGGAACGGAUCAGUGGUUGCAAGACAUUAAGGGUGAAGGAGAGCUUGGCUACAAAGGGGUAGCACAAAAUUGCUGUUUGGGGUGAUAGAAAUGUCCAGUAUCCUGAUUGUGACAGUGGUUACAAGAAUUUUUACAUGUGUUAAAAUUCACAGAACUAUACACACACACACACACAGGUUGAGGGAUGUUCCUUCGUGAAUUAAACACCCAGGACCGUUCA
Molecule: long non-coding RNA, 1555 nt
Filed under: Sus scrofa (pig)
Lineage: Eukaryota; Metazoa; Chordata; Mammalia; Artiodactyla; Suidae
Description: lncRNA (ENSSSCG00015043581.1)
Source: RNAcentral